Molecule: ribosomal RNA, 439 nt
Filed under: uncultured bacterium
Lineage: Bacteria
Description: partial 16S ribosomal RNA
Rfam family: Bacterial small subunit ribosomal RNA
Source: RNAcentral
CUACGGGCCGCUCCAGUGGGGAAUAUUGCACAAUGGGGGAAACCCUGAUGCAGCAACGCCGCGUGGAGGAUGACACAUUUCGGUGCGUAAACUCCUUUUAUAUGAGAAGAUAAUGACGGUAUCAUAUGAAUAAGCUCCGGCUAACUCCGUGCCAGCAGCCGCGGUAAUACGGGGGGAGCAAGCGUUACUCGGAAUUACUGGGCGUAAAGCGCAUGUAGGCGGAUAGAAAAGUCAGAAGUGAAAUCCUAUAGCUUAACUAUAGAACUGCUUCUGAAACUCUCUAUCUAGAAUGUGGGAGAGGUAGAUGGAAUUUCUGGUGUAGGGGUAAAAUCCGUAGAGAUCAGAAGGAAUACCGAUUGCGAAGGCGAUCUACUGGAACAAUAUUGACGCUGAGAUGCGAAAGCGUGGGGAGCAAACAGGAUUAGAUACCCCUGUAGUC